CGGAAUAUAGUGUAAUAGGUCAGCACAUCAGACUUUGACGCAAAUAGUUUGCGUUCGAGUCACAAUGUUCAAGCCA
This 76-nucleotide transfer RNA is filed under the name Frischella perrara. Its description in RNAcentral is "tRNA-Gln". The record is from RNAcentral. Lineage: Bacteria; Pseudomonadati; Pseudomonadota; Gammaproteobacteria; Orbales; Orbaceae.